This 240-nucleotide ribosomal RNA is filed under the name uncultured bacterium. RNAcentral's name for it is "partial 16S ribosomal RNA". It matches the Rfam family "Bacterial small subunit ribosomal RNA", at positions 524 to 762 of the family's 1533-position model. The record is from RNAcentral.
UACAGAGGUCCCCGAGCGUUGUUCGGAUUCACUGGGCGUAAAGGGUGCGUAGGUGGCAAGGCAAGUCUGAUGUGAAAUCUCGGAGCUUAACUUCGAAAUGGCAUUGGAUACUGCCUGGCUUGAGGUUCGGAGGGGAGACUGGAAUUCUCGGUGUAGCAGUGAAAUGCGUAGAUAUCGAGAGGAACACCGGUGGCGAAGGCGAGUCUCUGGACGAAAUCUGACACUGAGGCACGAAAGCUA